This 497-nucleotide ribosomal RNA is filed under the name uncultured bacterium. Its description in RNAcentral is "partial 16S ribosomal RNA". It matches the Rfam family "Bacterial small subunit ribosomal RNA", at positions 28 to 507 of the family's 1533-position model. The record is from RNAcentral.
GAUGAACGCUGGCGGCGUGCUUAACACAUGCAAGUCGAACGGACGGACGAUAAGCUUGCUGGUCGGUUGUGAGCGGCGGACGGGUGAGUAACACGUGGAGAAUCUCCCUAUCAUUCUGGUAUAAUUACGGGAAACCGGAGCUAAUACCAGAGAAUAUUUUGAACCGCAUGGUUCAUAGGUGAGAGACGGUCUUGGUGUCAGUGAUAGAUGGAUCCGCGCUGCAUUAGCUAGUUGGUAAGGUAACGGCUUACCAAGGCAACGAUGCAUAGCCGACCUGAGAGGGUGAUCGGCGACACUAGAGGUGAGACACGGUCCAGACUACUACGGGAGGCAGCAGUAGGGAAUCUUACGCAACAGUGGGGAGCAUGACGGAGCAACGCCGCGUCAGUGGUGACGGUCCUCGGAUCGUAAAGAUCUGCUAUUGGGGAUGAACAGAUGUGUACGGAGAUGUGGACAGAUUGACGGUAACUAAUUAGGAAGCACCGGCUAACUACGUG